GAUGAAGAACGUAGCGAAAUGCGAUACGUAGUGUGAAUUGCAGAAUUCAGUGAAUCAUCGAAUCUUUGAACGCACAUUGCACCUCUCGGUAUUCCGGGAGGUAUGCCUGUUCGAGCGUCAUUUGUACCCUCAAGCUCUGCUUGGUGUUGGGUGUUAGUUCCGCCUCUGUGUGUGAACUCGCCUCAAAACAAUUGGCAGCCGGCGUACUUGUUUCGGAGCGCAGCACAUUUUGCGAUCCAGAUCAACGUACAGCGGCAUCCAAGAAGCCUUAUUUAACGCUCUUGACCUCGGAUCAGGUAGGGAUACCCGCUGAACUUAAGCAUAUCAAUAAGCGGAGGA
Molecule: unclassified non-coding RNA, 339 nt
Filed under: soil metagenome
Description: partial contains 5.8S ribosomal RNA, internal transcribed spacer 2, and large subunit ribosomal RNA
Rfam family: 5.8S ribosomal RNA (bases 1-120)
Source: RNAcentral